Molecule: ribosomal RNA, 492 nt
Filed under: uncultured bacterium
Lineage: Bacteria
Description: partial 16S ribosomal RNA
Rfam family: Bacterial small subunit ribosomal RNA
Source: RNAcentral
AGUGAACGCUGGCGGUAGGCCUAACACAUGCAAGUCGAACGGCAGCACAGUAAGAGCUUGCUCUUACGGGUGGCGAGUGGCGGACGGGUGAGGAAUACAUCGGAAUCUACUUUUUCGUGGGGGAUAACGUAGGGAAACUUACGCUAAUACCGCAUACGACCUACGGGUGAAAGCAGGGGAUCUUCGGACCUUUCGCGAUUGAAUGAGCCGAUGUCGGAUUAGCUAGUUGGCGGGGUAAAGGCCCACCAAGGCGACGAUCCGUAGCUGGUCUGAGAGGAUGAUCGGCCACACUGGAACUGAGACACGGUCCAGACUCCUACGGGAGGCAGCAGUGGGGAAUAUUGGGCAAUGGGCGCAAGCCUGACCCAGCCAGACCGCGUGAGUGAAGAAGGCCUUCGGGUCGUAAAGCCCUUUUGUUGGGAAAGAAAAGCUGUAGGUUAAGACCCCGCUGUUCUGACGGUACCCAAUGAAUAAGCACCGGCUAACUACGUG